This 438-nucleotide ribosomal RNA is filed under the name uncultured bacterium. RNAcentral's name for it is "bacterial SSU rRNA". It matches the Rfam family "Bacterial small subunit ribosomal RNA", at positions 339 to 794 of the family's 1533-position model. The record is from RNAcentral.
CUACGGAAGGCGGCAGUAAGGAAUCUUGCACAAUGGGGGAAACCCUGAUGCAGCGACGCCGCGUGAGCGAUGAAGCCCUUCGGGGUGUAAAGCUCUUUCGGCAGGGACGAUAAUGACGGUACCUGCAGAAGCAGCUGCGGCUAACUACGUGCCAGCAGCCGCGGUAAUACGUAGGCAGCGAGCGUUGUUCGGAGUUACUGGGCGUAAAGGGUGCGUAGGCGGCCCCCUAAGUUUGGUGUGAAAUCUCCCGGCUCAACUGGGAGGGUGCGCCGGUUACUGAGGGGCUAGAGUGUGGGAAGGGAAAGUGGAAUUCCUGGUGUAGCGGUGAAAUGCGUAGAGAUCAGGAGGAACACCGGCAGUGUAAACGGCUUUCUGGACCAUAACUGACGCUGAGGCACGAAAGCGUGGGGAGCAAACAGGAUUAGAUACCCCGGUAGC